GGGGGCUUAGAUCAGCUGGGAGAGCGCCUGCUUUGCACGCAGGAGGUCAGCGGUUCGAUCCCGCUAGUCUCCACCA
This 76-nucleotide transfer RNA is filed under the name Staphylococcus aureus. Its description in RNAcentral is "tRNA-Ala". It matches the Rfam family "tRNA". Rfam says of the family: Transfer RNA (tRNA) molecules are approximately 80 nucleotides in length. Their secondary structure includes four short double-helical elements and three loops (D, anti-codon, and T loops). The record is from RNAcentral. Lineage: Bacteria; Bacillati; Bacillota; Bacilli; Caryophanales; Staphylococcaceae.